GAAUUUUGGACAAUGGGGGCAACCCUGAUCCAGCCAUCCCGCGUGUGCGAUGAAGGCCUUCGGGUUGUAAAGCACUUUUGGCAGGGAAGAAAAGGCUCUGGCUAAUACCUGGAGCUGCUGACGGUACCUGCAGAAUAAGCACCGGCUCACUACGUGCCAGCAGCCGCGGUAAUACGUAGGGUGCAAGCGUUAAUCGGAAUUACUGGGCGUAAAGCGUGCGCAGGCGGUUCGGCAAGAAGGAUGUGAAAUCCCAGGGCUUAACCUUGGAACUGCAUUCUUAACUGCCGGGCUAGAGUAUGUCAGAGGGGGGGUAGAAUUCCGCGUGUAGCAGUGAAAUGCGUAGAGAUGCGGAGGAAUACCGAUGGCGAAGGCAGCCUUCUGGCAUCAUAUUGACACUGAGGUUCGAAAGCGUGGGUAGCAAAC
This 423-nucleotide ribosomal RNA is filed under the name uncultured bacterium. RNAcentral describes it as "bacterial SSU rRNA". It matches the Rfam family "Bacterial small subunit ribosomal RNA", at positions 359 to 773 of the family's 1533-position model. The record is from RNAcentral.